This is a non-coding RNA of Gasterosteus aculeatus (three-spined stickleback), 54 nucleotides long. The record is from Rfam. NCBI's taxonomy places the organism in Eukaryota, Metazoa, Chordata, Actinopteri, Perciformes, Gasterosteidae.
UUUAAAGUGUAAUGUAAGUCGCUUUGGAUAAAAGCGUCUCCUAAAUGACCUGUA